This 259-nucleotide ribosomal RNA is filed under the name uncultured bacterium. RNAcentral describes it as "partial small subunit ribosomal RNA". It matches the Rfam family "Bacterial small subunit ribosomal RNA", at positions 27 to 285 of the family's 1533-position model. The record is from RNAcentral.
GGGACGAACGCUGGCGGCGUGCUUAACACAUGCAAGUCGAACGGUAAGGCCCCUUCGGGGGUACACGAGUGGCGAACGGGUGAGUAACACGUGAGCAACCUGCCCUUGACUCUGGAAUAACAGUUGGAAACAGCUGCCUAAUACCGGGUAUGACAUGUCCCCGCAUGGGGGUGUGUGGAAAGCCCUGGCGGUCAAGGAUGGGCUCGCGGCCUAUCAGCUAGUUGGUGAGGUAAUGGCUACACCAAGGCUUCGACGGGUA